GAUGAACGCUGGCGGCGUGCCUAACACAUGCAAGUCGAACGAAGCUUGACGGAUGAUUUCUUCGGAAUGAAACCAGAUAUGACUUAGUGGCGGACGGGUGAGUAACACGUGAGCAACCUGCCUUUCAGAGGGGGAUAACGGCUGGAAACGGUCGCUAAUACCGCAUGACGUGUUCGGAUGGCAUCAUCUGAACAUCAAAGAUUUAUCGCUGAAAGAUGGGCUCGCGUCUGAUUAGAUAGUUGGUGGGGUAACGGCCUACCAAGUCUACGAUCAGUAGCCGGACUGAGAGGUUGAACGGCCACAUUGGGACUGAGAUACGGCCCAGACUCCUACGGGAGGCAGCAGUGGGGAAUAUUGCACAAUGGGGGAAACCCUGAUGCAGCAACGCCGCGUGAAGGAUGACGGUUUUCGGAUUGUAAACUUCUUUUCUUAGUGACGAAGACAGUGACGGUAGCUAAGGAAUAAGCAUCGGCUAACUACGUG
This 483-nucleotide ribosomal RNA is filed under the name uncultured bacterium. RNAcentral describes it as "partial 16S ribosomal RNA". It matches the Rfam family "Bacterial small subunit ribosomal RNA", at positions 28 to 507 of the family's 1533-position model. The record is from RNAcentral.